AUCGCUUCUCGGCCUUUUGGCUAAGAUCAAGUGUAGUAUCUGUUUUUUUUUUUUUCUUUUUAAAAAGAUUUAUUUAUUUAUUGAGAGAGAGAGAGGAAUAGCA
Molecule: small nuclear RNA, 103 nt
Filed under: Canis lupus familiaris (dog)
Lineage: Eukaryota; Metazoa; Chordata; Mammalia; Carnivora; Canidae
Description: U2 spliceosomal RNA (ENSCAFG00040009431.1)
Rfam family: U2 spliceosomal RNA
About the family: U2 is a small nuclear RNA (snRNA) component of the spliceosome (involved in pre-mRNA splicing). Complementary binding between U2 snRNA (in an area lying towards the 5' end but 3' to hairpin I) and the branchpoint sequence (BPS) of the intron results the bulging out of an unpaired adenosine, on the BPS, which initiates a nucleophilic attack at the intronic 5' splice site, thus starting the first of two transesterification reactions that mediate splicing.
Source: RNAcentral